This 314-nucleotide ribosomal RNA is filed under the name uncultured bacterium. RNAcentral's name for it is "bacterial SSU rRNA". It matches the Rfam family "Bacterial small subunit ribosomal RNA", at positions 154 to 466 of the family's 1533-position model. The record is from RNAcentral.
AAAUUUGGAUUAAUACCUUAUAACAAUAUUCAUUCGCAUGUUUGAAUAUUUAAAGCUUUUGCGGAAAAAGAUGGGCAUGCGUGACAUUAGUUUGUUGGUGAGGUAACGGCUCACCAAGACUACGAUGUCUAGGGGUUCUGAGAGGAUGAUCCCCCACACUGGUACUGAGACACGGACCAGACUCCUACGGGAGGCAGCAGUGAGGAAUAUUGGUCAAUGGACGAAAGUCUGAACCAGCCAUGCCGCGUGAAGGAUGACGGCCCUACGGGUUGUAAACUUCUUUUGUAUAGGAAGAAACCCCCCUACGUGUAUGG